This is a long non-coding RNA of Dicentrarchus labrax (European seabass), 455 nucleotides long. RefSeq lists it as uncharacterized. The record is from RefSeq and is a predicted model, not a curated record. The transcript has 3 exons. Lineage: Eukaryota; Metazoa; Chordata; Actinopteri; Moronidae.
ACAACGUCAGCGUCCCACAAGUCCGUUCUGCGUUUAAGAGCCAUUCAUUUACAAAGAGCGACACAGCGGCAGCACAGCCAACAUGUCAGACAAGAAACAGACCGUGGACCUGGGUUUACUGGAGGAGGAUGAUGAGUUUGAAGAAUUCCCAGCUGAGGAUUGGACGGGGCUGGAUGAAGAUGAAGAUGCUCAUGUUUGGGAAGACAACUGGGACGAUGACAACGUAGAAGAUGAUUUCUCAAAUCAACUCAGAGCUGAGCUGGAAAAACAUGGUUACAAGAUGGAGACGUCAUAACGGCUGACGGGGCCCUUCAGUAAUCGAUGACAUUGGAUAUGGACAUUUCUAUUUGAAUAUUAUUGGUUGACCACAGAGCACCAGAGGAGGAGAUUUGAUGAUGUUAAUGUGUUUCUUUUUUUGUAAUAAAUAUUGAUAGAAGUAAAGUGUUUGGAGAAAA